AGAGCCGUUUGAGCGUCCUUGCCAGCGCCAGACAACUUCACUAUCCCUGCCCUAGCAGGGGGCGAUAAUCACAUCAAGCUUCCCUGACAAGAGGCAUUGAAUUCAGCUCCGGUCCCCUUAAGAGUCUGGCAUCCAGCAGUCUCUCUUGAACAUGCUGCUGACGUUACAAUGGAAGGUUUGUAUUUUCAUUUUUCACUCCACAGCGUUGCUCUUUUUCCUUUUUUUUUUUAAACCCCUUUUUUUUGCCGCAGUAAUGUAUUUGGGAACAAUUUAGGAUUCAGUAUUAAUGGGGCAAAAAUCUGAAAUGGCAGAAUCGAGUGUUACCGCCAUUGAGAAGUGUUAUUGUAUCUGUGUCUUCUAAUCGUCAUGGUGAAUUUUAUACAAUAUUUAGCUUUUGUGAUUCUGUCCUAACAGGUUUUUGAAGGUUUAACGGGAAAUCGCUUUCUUUCUUUAUGUCUUCAGGGAUAUCUAUAGAUUAUAUCCUGCAAUAGUCGCCAUCAAACUGCUCAAAGCACUGUUUUGACUUCAUACACUUAAUGAAAGGUUGAAACUCACAUAAUAUAACUCCGCUGACACAGGUUUACACUGGAACCCAUGCUGGGCGGUGGUCCUAAAAAAGGAUGCUAUCGCUUUAAGAGGUCCAUGUCCUCUCUCAAACCACGGUUGAUCAAUUUUUGCCGGCUCCACUGGUAAACACAAGUAAGGAAGAUUUUUUUCAUUUGUCAGCUAUUGUGUUUCCGAACUUGUAUUCACAUGUACAUGAAUCUGUCUCUGCCCUUUGUGGGGUUGUGGAGUACAUUGUUUACAUUUUGUGAAUUCCUAACGCUCACUUAAUAUGACCGUUUUCGGAACUUAUCAAGACUUGGAAAAGCGAGGACUAAUGCAGGGGCAUCCGUCUUUCUUCUGAAAUCCACCAAAACAGAUGAAAACCAGACUGGACUGUUUUAAGCAGCUUUGUAGGCCUACAGAGCUCCUCCGCUACCCGGGGAGCCUGGUCUCCAGCAGCUAUGCCCCAUUCAUCACCUGCUUUCAAUGGCCAGUACCAAGCAGCCUCAAGCUCAAGGGCCAGGUAGGGUGCCUGGUGGUGCACAAUGUUUGGGGGAUUAACAAUCAAAGGAGCGCGGAGGCUAGGGCCCUCCGUCCCAGAGUGCCAUUCACUCCUAGCAGGGGAGGAGAACUCCAGCAGUGGCCAAGGUCAGCAUCUCCAACUCGGCAGGAGGUAACUGGGAAAGAACCCUGGGAACCAGCCGCCUGUGCUGUGCUUAUCACCGGCUAGCAGGCUAGCAGCACAGCAGGAGUCUUAUCUGCCAAACAUUCAGCUGUUUGUGCAUCUGAUAGCAUGGCUGACAACAAGAUAAUACUUUCUUUGCUUUAAUUCUCUCGCACUUUCUCCCUCUGUCCUCUUUUAUUUCCAUCUUAUAGUGUUGUUGUUUGCCCUUUUCCAGUGAGGUUUGGUUGUCUUGCUAUUAGUUCUUAAGCUUCAUGUUGAGUUAGCAACUGCUGGUUAAAAAAUCUUUUAGUCAAAAAUGAACUGCUGUGCAUGGUCAGAUGUAGGAAAUAUAUGGUUCUGUACAUCGGAGAGACUUCUAAUGAUAGAGAGUUUCUUGUCUCUGAAAAGUUUCAUGGCUUUACUUGGUUGCUAUGGUUUCAACCAACCAUCCCAAACUGUA
Molecule: long non-coding RNA, 1670 nt
Filed under: Xyrichtys novacula (pearly razorfish)
Lineage: Eukaryota; Metazoa; Chordata; Actinopteri; Labriformes; Labridae
Source: RNAcentral